AAUGAGUUCCAACUACUUAAAAACCUGUUAUAAGUUCAUACACAUUUAUUUUUUUGAGUAGUUUGAACAAGUUUGUUUUUUCAAGUUAUCAGUACUUGAAUAUAUUGAUUAGUUUCUAGCAUUGCCCUCAAAUAAUUUGAGUUUUAACACUGACGUCACUUACGUGCCUACGUACGUACGUACCUACGUGCGCCACCUGUUUCUUUAUGAAGUGCUGGCAACCAUCUUGGAUUCCUCGCUUCGAGUGCGAAUGCCCGCUCAUUACUCCGAAAGAAACUUGUGGAACGUUAAUAUCCGAACAGAAAUAAAAACAUUUGUCAAGGGGUUUUUUGCGGCAUUGCCGUUGACGCUGGAUAAAGGAGGGCAUGCUAUGGUAUGUUACGGACUUUUGAACUGGAACAGCUAACGCUCUGCACUUGGCUAGCUGCAUUUACCGCCUUUGCGGCAUCUUCAGGAGCGCUUUUGUGUCUGUCUUGUCUUCUGUGUUUUACUGUUAUGUCCAUGCCAGGGCAGAAGUAAAUUUUCAGGGGUGAAGAUGCUGUUUACCUUGACCAGCUAAGACUACAGAUUGUAGAUGAAGUCGAGAAAAGUGAAAAGAAUCCUGAACAAAGCUGAUGCUCACAACUUUGGCCUUGCAAUGCAAAGAGAUCAUCAAUGAUGACCUACCAGUAGGUCAGAUCCUGGAUUGCUGGCCUACUCUGAAAUCCCAGUCCCAGAUCUGUGCAGAAUUCCACAGGAUUACAAACCUCCACCUGAAGAACCACUUUUAUGCUGUUGGACCAACAUGCUCCCUGGCUCCAGAGUUUAUUCAGAAAGAAAGCUGUUUGGACAGGGAACGUGUCUGAUGUCCUGUCUCAGCUCUUCAGAAGCUAUAAUCUCCAGGAACAAGCUGAUAUCCAUGCCCAAAGUGCUGGUGUGCUUCAUGCCCUCUCUGCCUAUUUGUACGAAGACACCUCUACCUUCAUCAAAACAUGGGAUACCUCAUGCUCCACUUUUGAAAUGCUCCUGGUGUGAUAUGAAAUCCUUCAAAGAGCAGCACAAAACUCUGUUACACAGAUGCAGAAACAGACAUGGCAGAUGCAGUGCACUCCUGAGGUAACCCCGGCAGAAGAAACUGCCUCUUUAUCAGGUCAGUGCACUCCUGGGUAGCAGGUAGUGUUACACGGUGUUACUGUCUAAAACUAAUUACACUCCUUUCGAAGCAUUUAGCAGUAAUAACUUUAAGUACUCAUUUCCGUGUGACUUUAUCAGCAUCUCACAUCUUUUUUACAGCAUUGAGUUCAUUGCAGGCAUUCACGUAUGGAAGCUCUCUUAUAGUUCAGCACUUCAACCAGGUUGAGGUUUGGACUUUGGCCGGGGCUUUCAGCACAUGGUUCUGUUUUUUUCAGCCAUUCUUAGGAUAAUUGUUUUGUUGCAUGACUCAGUUUCAUCCAAGCUUCAGCUGUUGGGGAGAUCGCCUCACAUCUGACUCUAGAAUAUUUAUACAGAGGAGUUCAUCGUCGACUCAAUGGCUGCAAGGAAUCAAGGUCCUGUGGCUGCAAAACAAGCCCAAAUCAUCACUGCUCCACCACAUUGCUUUAUCAUUGUUAUGAGGUAUUUGUGCUGAUGUGCGCAUAUAUUUCUGCUUUUAUAGAGGUGCUCACACCUUUUGGUAAUCAUUUAAUCGAGUGUGCAUUUGAUUAGCAAUUCCUGGCUGCUACUUACCCUCCUAAUUCCUAUGGAAGGGGUGUACUUCCACAGACUUCACAGAGUUUCCUUUUCACACGACUGUAUCUUUGUCUGCUGCUGUGAUCUCGCAGAGCUGAGAGAGUGGCAGCAGAACAUAUUUAGAAAGUUUAUUUAAUGUAACAAUACUGCAUGGAAACCAUAUCCCAUAUGAUUAAAAUGUACUUUAGAUAUCCAGCAUAAAAUCACUUUUUUACAAAGUGGAUCUCAGUGUUUUAUGUGAUUUGCUGUUGCUUAAUGAUUUUUGACAUUUUAGCUGAAUGAGAUGGAGAUAAUGCAAAUGAUUUGUUACCCUGCUUAGGAGUUUAGUCGCGUAAUUGCAAUUUGUUUGGUUAUAUAAAAAUAUUACAUCAUUUACAUGUGUGAUCUCAAAGGCCCUGCACGCCCACAGUCUGCCCACACAGGCAUUUUCACUUAUGUUACCUAAUAAGUGAUGUGCUUGAUUGACAUUCAGCGAUAUCGCUAAUUCCCGGUACAGCUUCACUCAAUUUACACCAGAAUAGAGGUCUAAGUGAAAACACCUGUGUAGGUGUGCUGGGCUUUUAAACUGCAGAGUAGCCCAAUGUGCAUAAAAUAUAUGUAAAUAAAUGAAAGAUGGCGUAUAAUAAGAGUAGAAGUGUAAAGAAGUAUAAAAAGGAAAACGUUCAGUAGUACAUUAGUUUAGUGCUAGUGUAUUAAUGUUUUCCGACUGAGAUUAAUUAUCGUCCAUGCUUUAUUUCUGCUGCUUUCACAUGAGACUACAACUCCAAAACAGAGUUACAGUUAUUAAAGUUUGUCAUUUUGUAAUUAGUUUUUAUUUUUGUCUUUUUUUUCAGUUUUGUUUUAAUUCAAUUUAGUUCCAGUUAGUUACCAGGGUUAGUUUUUAAUGUUUCAGAAUGUUUAGUUUUACUUUUGUUUCUUAUGAAUUUUUAGUGGGUAGUUUUAGUCUCAUUAUGUUUACGGGGAUAUGCCAGAGGCAAGAUUUUGAAAUAUUAGUUGACUCGCAGUCUUGUAGAGAUCCAAAGUCUCAAUAAAUAUGUCCUAUAUACGCUUCAUAAGGCAAGUUGGGAUCAUUUUGCUUAAUUAACAAAUACUAAAACACUGCAGGGUCUUCACUGAAGGAGAAGGGCCAUCUCUAACAGCAUAGAGGCAGUGGAAAAAAGGCGUCAGGUGGCUCUGGAUAAAGAGAGCAAGCAAAGGCUUGAUCAGCUGGGUCACCUGAGUGAAGGUGUCUGAUGUUCGAGAGACCCAAAACACCCGAUGACCUCAGGACACACCACAGAGGAUGUAACAUAGCUUGGCAUCUGAAGGUGUGUCAUUACAAUAAACAAAGGCUACUUCCUCUAUAUGUAUUACCGUAUUUUAUUUUAGUUCAUUUUCACAGCUCGUUUGUCAGCUUUUGUUUUUAAACGUUUGUUUUAGUUAACUAAGUUUUAGUUGUUAGUUAAAUUUUAGUUAUGUCUCCAGAAAUACCUGUUAGUGCACUUUCAUCGAGCAGUGAAGUUGUUCUACAUUUCUAAAAUGUGGCUUAGAUUUUGACCCCUCAGAUUUGAUCCACCUCGCCAUCGUGAAAUCUGGUGACGUUGCGCCAAAAACUUCUACUCCAGCAUUAUUCUGUAGUUGAGAGAUGCACUCACCAGGGGAGAGAAGCAGCAAAUAUACACAUCCAGUCUCUCACUGUGCCAUGAUGAAAAGCAAGGAGCAUCUGCCUUCUGUUGUUUUAAUCCCCAAGGACGUUUUAAAAAAAUGCCUCACUUUUUAAACCUGAUGUGAAUUAUAUGGAUCACCUGAAGAAAUGAGAUGCUGGAGGAUCCUUCGCAACACGUGCAAUCUAAUUACUCCAUCUGAAUCAAGAUGAAACUUCUGGGGCCAAAGUGAAGUGCCCAAAGUGCACAUCCUCUAAUAGCUACUUAAAUGAGUCAGCCCCAUAGACUCCAAUGUAAAAACUUAAAAUCAUAAAGCGUGUUUACAGAAAUGGUUUUCGCCUCUAUAGAUAGCUUCCUCCUUCAUUACAAGUGUACACUUGAUCCCAUGGGAUCCUCAUAGAUUAUUCCAUGAGGCUAAAGCAAGAAUAAUCCACGAUGUCCCAUAAUGCCACAGUCAAGUUAAAAAGUUUUUCUGUGGGUGUUGCUGGUAUUGAUUUCAACCUGCUAAAGGAUAUUCUGAAUUUGUUUGAUCUACUCAUAAAAUAAUUCAUUCUCAUUCUUAUUAAAUGAUGUGUUUUGCUAUAUCACCAAGACAUUAAAUUUCAUAACAGUCUGAGUUUUAUUACAUUUGAACUAAUUUAUGUUUUAACCAUUUUUACAGUUUCCACACUUCAAAUUUAGCUAACUAAGUGAUUGUAAACUCGCUAAAAAUGUUUUUAUCAUUGGUUGCUCUCCAUUUUUGUUUAUGUGCUGAGUAAAUAUUUAUUUUGUUUGAUUUGGAUUUUUCCAAGCAGUUACAAGGCUCAUGAAUUAUGUAUUAUGGCUGCACUUAAAUUCUGUUCUGGCAUUUCACGCAGGUGCAUGCUUGUAUUUUUAAUAUCAAGUGAAACUACUUGUGAUUCUUCCAAGUGUAGAUGAAAAUGCAUGACAAAAUUACGCUCCUCAUAUUCUUUUGGUGUCGUAACAGUGCCUCUCUUUAUAGCUUCCAAGUUUUAUAUAGUGUUUCCUAUAUUGUCCUUUAUUGUCAUUUCUACUGGAAUGACUACUGUCGAUAAUGGACCUGAUUUUCAUCAUUAUUCACUAUCAAAGGUUAAAGUGGAUUUGGCAGGUGGGGGAAUUCUAAUAUCAAGGGGCAAAGGAUUACACAGUAAAUUUAAUUUUGGUUUGUUUUUUUAAAACUAUAUUUCAAAAAACAAGAGUAGUGCUGCUACGCCAAUAUUAAAUGUUUUAAUAUUGGUGGGGUGGAUUUAGGGUUCCAACUGAUUUCAAUAAGGUAUAAGCAGAUGCUUCAUGCUUUUUAUGGCUGAUUUCAACUCCUAUACAGUAUAAUGCUAGUAUAAAAGGUAGAAUUAGGUGAGUGAAAUGAAUAAAAAGAUGAGAUAAUCAUUAAAUAUUAUAACUGAUAAUAUAUAAAUUCAUAACAACUCUUAAUGUACACUAACACUGACCAUGAAGAGGCUGCUUUGUAGCAGUCCAGCAUACUGAAUCACACUGUAAACUUCACCACAGUGCUGCAAACUAACCACUGUAGCCUGCUCAAAACAAUCCUCAGUUUCUCUUGCAAGACGUUUCACAGAGACAUAAUUCAGCAACACAUUGUGUAUAUACAAUGUAUAUCCAAUAUCUGGUUUAAAAGCUCUCAAAAAAAAUGCAGACAUUCUAUGUAAGCUUGAAACUUCCUGUUUAUUAAAAUUCACAUCCUGAGCUAUGUUUGAAAAUGUUUGUCUUUCAAUGGACAACACAGCAGCUGUAUCUUUAGCUAAUACACAUAUUUUGUGACAAGCUGUGCAGAAACAAUUUGUGUGUUUGGAGAUUUUUUGAGUUGAUUGAAAAGUUAAAUUUGCUCGCUCGUCUUCUGUGCUAGAUGCUAAAGUACCCCAGCUUUAUUUACAUCUGCACCAUGAACGCAUCACAGGCAUGAGAAGGAAAAAAGGGCACGAGCGUGCCGUGGGAUGUCAUUAUUUUAAUUGUUUUCUUAUUACUGAGCAAGUGUCGCCACUGGAAGCAACACCGACCUACAGCACACAAAAAAUUGGGCUCACUGGACAGUAAUAUGCAUUAAUCAGAUUUAAAUGCUCAUUAAUUUAAGGUGUCUGGACGCCGUUCUGGGCCACUUUAACCCCUGUUCAUUUACUGGUCUAUACAUAACAUUUCCUAAUAAUUCUGCUUCUCUCUUGCAGAGUAAAAUCAUUAUGGGAAAAUCGUUAAUCCCCAGAACAACCAAAGGCUCCUGUUUGGAGUGUGGCCACAAGUACUUUUGAGCGCUUAGAGACCUUACAUUCUACGACUCUACGAUACAUAUACUGUAUAACUGAAGAGAAGUUUUGGUUUCAGAAGAUUCAUAGCUCAUUAACUGUAUUUAUUGCUUUCCCGCAGUGGAAGGCACUGCACUGUAUUCAGCAUCAACAACCCUCUUUAUUACUGGCAAAAGACAGGAUUUAUGCGCUUUGUGUUAUAGCCUGAUUCUGUCAAAAACCUGUCACAGUAGUGGCUAGUCCACCCAGUAUUACUUUCCCUAAUCUUCAUGUUUACAAUAGUGCUGGGAUUUUUAAAUUAUUCUAUCUAUAUUAUUCAUACAAUGCAUGCAUAAUUUUGGGCAAUAUUGUGUUAUGUGAUGGCUUCUGGUUAACCAUUUUCAUACAUGCACUGCAGCCGGAGCUUUUCAAGGCGUUAGGUAAUGUGUGUGAGAAGUGGACAUCCAACAAUCUUUAACUAACCAGCUCUGUAAUACAAAGUCUAUAUGUGGUCCAAUUCUUCUGAUGUGAGGAUAAAAAAGCACUUGUCUGUAAAUUCUUCGCUAGCGGGUGGUCAUCCUGUGACUUGCCUCCUGCAUGCGCUGCUCAGUCAGCACGCUCGUCUAAACAACAGUGAGUAUUUUGAAAAGUCAGAACUCCUGCUAUGUGCUGCAUGUGAUAAAAAGGCAUUUUUGGAAAACCUCCGGCCCUGACUGAUUCUGCUGUUGUCUGAUAUUCUGGGAUAUACUUCUCUUUUGAGCUUUAUCCACUUUUAACUUUUGAUCACAAAUACACGGUUAGGUGGUGAAGGCCACAGCAAAAACCUUUAAGCUUUUGCCUCGAUGAAGUAGUCUGUUGUGGAUUUUGAGAUGCGUUUACAGUCCUUUAGUAGAGGUCAUCCUUUUUUCGUCUGCAGCUUUAGCGCGGAAUGAUGUCUGACUCAAGAAUCUGCCGCUAUUUAAUUGAAUCCAUUCUUUCUCUGCAAGUGGAAUGUAGCCACAAGCUACAACACAAGCCCAAGGCAUGAUCCAUCUAACACCUGCUUAACACUUAGAGAGCUAUUCUUUCUAUAUAAAGAACAGCUCUCCAUUUAUCUACUGUGGCUCAAAAUUUAUAUUUCAACCGUAAAGUCUGGAAAACUUCCAAAGUGCAUCAAGCUAGUUUGCGGGUGCUUUGAACAGCAUUUCUAGCAAGCCAAAGAGCAAUUCUCAUAGAUUUAUUUCAUAUUUAUAUAUCACCAAAUCAUAAUAAUAAUUACAUGAAAGCACUUUGCAUUAGAGGACAAAUAAUUCAUAAAUAAUCCAUCAAUCGUCUAUGGGAUUAAGAACCAGAAUGGGCAUAAAACUUUCUCUAACAGAGAUAAACCUUCAGCAGCAUGAAGCUCAGGGUGCUGGUUGAAGGUGAGAGAAAAGUGGACCUCCAUUUACAGCCAUUUCUCACUUACAUUACUGAUUUUAAACAUAUAUGUGAAAAAAUACAUCAUGUUGGCUUCUCUUGCUUUAUGGCCAUCAAGUAUUUUAAUUGUGUGCUAAGCAGCUUAGAAGAGCCCAUGGCAGCCGAUUGGUCUGUCAAGGUUUGAGAAGUAUUGAAAAAGCCCUGAGCUUUCUAUCACUUGGCUUUUAUAAUGACGACUAUAAACAAGCCAGGGUGAUAGCAAGGUUAAUAAAUUCUGAAAUGUUGGUAAAAGUAAUCAUUGAUACCUUAGACCUCAUAUCUCUUGAAGAGC
Haplochromis burtoni (Burton's mouthbrooder) is the source of this 7310-nucleotide long non-coding RNA. RefSeq lists it as uncharacterized. The transcript is spliced from 5 exons. The record is from RefSeq and is a predicted model, not a curated record. NCBI's taxonomy places the organism in Eukaryota, Metazoa, Chordata, Actinopteri, Cichliformes, Cichlidae.